CCCUUAGAUGUUCUGGGCCGCACACGCGCUACACUGAAGGAGGCAGCGUGUACUCCUGGAUCGAAAGAUUUGGGUAACCCGCGAAUCUCCUUCGUGCUAGGGAUUGAGGUUUGCAAUUAUCCUUCAUGAACGAGGAAUUCCCAGUAAGUGCAAGUCAUAAGCUUGCGCUGACUACGUCCCUGCCCUUUGUACACACCGCCCGUCGCUACUACCGAUUGAAUGAUUUAGUGAGGACUUCGGACUGGGACCGAUGCGGCUUUCGGGCUGCGUCGGUAUUCUGGAAAGAUGUCCAAACUGUAUCAUUUAGGGGAAGUAAAAGUCGUANCA
Molecule: ribosomal RNA, 327 nt
Filed under: uncultured eukaryote
Lineage: Eukaryota
Description: partial 18S ribosomal RNA
Rfam family: Eukaryotic small subunit ribosomal RNA
Source: RNAcentral